CUAAUACUGACACUGAGGUACGAAAGCGUGGGUAGCAAACAGGAUUAGAUACCCUGGUAGUCGACGCCGUAAACGAUGACAACUAGCCGUUGGGAGGAUUUACCUCUUAGUGGCGAAGCUAACGCGUUAAGUUGUCCGCCUGGGGAGUACGGCCGCAAGGCUAAAACUCAAAGGAAUUGACGGGGACCCGCACAAGCGGUGGAGCAUGUGGUUUAAUUCGAUGCAACGCGAAGAACCUUACCUGGUCUUGACAUACACGGAACUUUCCAGAGAUGGAUUGGUGCCUUCGGGAACCGUGAUACAGGUGCUGCAUGGCUGUCGUCAGCUCGUGUCGUGAGAUGUUGGGUUAAGUCCCGUAACGAGCGCAACCCUUAUCCUUAUUUGCCAGCACAUCAUGGUGGGAACUAUAAGGAGACUGCCGGUGAUAAACCGGAGGAAGGCGGGGACGACGUCAAGUCAUCAUGGCCCUUACGACCAGGGCUACACACGUGCUACAAUGGGAAGGACAAAGGGUCGCAACCUCGCGAGAGCAAGCUAAUCUCAUAAACCUUUUCGUAGUCCGGAUCGGAGUCUGCAACUCGACUCCGUGAAGUCGGAAUCGCUAGUAAUCGUGGAUCAGAAUGCCACGGUGAAUACGUUCCCGGGUCUUGUACACACCGCCCGUC
This 665-nucleotide ribosomal RNA is filed under the name uncultured bacterium. RNAcentral's name for it is "bacterial SSU rRNA". It matches the Rfam family "Bacterial small subunit ribosomal RNA", at positions 734 to 1398 of the family's 1533-position model. The record is from RNAcentral.